AAGGAUGUGAUCUUAUAUGCCAUAUUGAGAGAUCAUCCUGUGGCUAAGGGAACAAUUAUUUCAACUAAUCCAAGCUCAGUGCUAGGAGGAGUUGCUCUAGGAAAGCAAUAUUGUGAGGUUGUUGUGAAUGUUGUGCUGAAAAGGGAUGCCCUUCUACCUCGCCCAUAUGGUUAUUUGGAGGAGAUGGGUGAUGCUGAUCGGAUGUCGAUCGCAUGGCCGUACAAGAGACUAAAGGUGAGCAAGACAUCAAAAUCAUCCCAGAGUGCUACAG
Zea mays is the source of this 271-nucleotide long non-coding RNA. RefSeq lists it as uncharacterized. The transcript is spliced from 2 exons. Lineage: Eukaryota; Viridiplantae; Streptophyta; Magnoliopsida; Poales; Poaceae. The record is from RefSeq and is a predicted model, not a curated record.